GUCUACAGCCAUACCACCCUGAACACACCUGAUCUCGUCUAAUUUCAGAAGCUAAGCAGGGUCGGGCCUGGUUAGUACUUGGAUGGGAGACAGAAAGAGAUUCCACCACAGCCAUAAGCA
Molecule: ribosomal RNA, 120 nt
Organism: Mesocricetus auratus (golden hamster)
Lineage: Eukaryota; Metazoa; Chordata; Mammalia; Rodentia; Cricetidae
Source: Ensembl